Bos taurus (domestic cattle) is the source of this 72-nucleotide non-coding RNA. Lineage: Eukaryota; Metazoa; Chordata; Mammalia; Artiodactyla; Bovidae. The record is from Rfam.
UCCCUUGUGGCUCAGCUGGUAAAGAAUCCACCUGCAAUGUGGGAGACCUGGGUUCGAUCCCCGGAUUGGGAA